GAAAAAGAGAACUCCAACAGCUCCCCGUAACUUCCCCAAACUAUUCGCGAUGCCAAAACAAAGUCCGUCACCGCGCGUAUUUGCAGGAUUUUCCCCCUCCCCCAAUCGGUCUUCCCGCAUGCAAGAGAGAGUCUUCCGGUGGCGGGGCGCACACACACCCCAGCCAUUGCGUGCACACCAAGAAGAAUGCCCAUGACAGCACCAAGAAGGUUCUGCUGAACGGGGGAAGCGUCCUCCCUGCCCACGGCGCCUUCCUUCUCCCGAUCCCAAUGGUGUGGCCUCCCUCACCCCCACCUUAUCUAUCAUCAUUGUCUCCCUCACCCCCGCCUUCACUCUCCGCCACGGCAGCACUGUCAAACUUGCUGGUUGCUAAGGCACACCGCUGGUUCUAAUUUCUUUUCCUCUUUCCUGAUUUGUGCUUGCUUGUGUGCCGCUGGUUGUGCUACAAUCUGUGCUUCCUCUUUUGGAUCCGUUCUACUGUGUGGAGAGGAGCUUGUGAUUUGAAUCUUGUGUAAAUCAGAGUAGCAGAGAUUGAGUUUUUGACAAAUAGAAUGGAUAUUGGCUUCUUGUUCUUGGUCUGCUAGGCUCUGAACUUUUCAGUCUCCUGCCUCUAUGUUUCUAGUGCUGGCGACUACUCUUGGAUUGCCUUUUUCAGUUCUGAUUGCAGAUUGCCUUUUUCAGUGCUAGAUCGAAGUCUAUCCUUGCCUGAUAUGCUACAGCUGCAACUUGAAAAUUCAUUUCUCUCUAAUUUGAUUACCUGCUGCUUGUGCUAGUCUUUGUUUUUUAAUUCAUGCCAUUCAGCGACACCGGUCAACAAGGCUUUGAGCAUCAGUUUUAAUUCAUGCCAUUCAGCGACACCGGUCAACAAAGCUUUGAGCAUCAGGUUUCAGGUGUCAUUGAGCAUCAGGUUUCAGGUGUCAUUUUCAAGUUACAGUAAACUGAAUACAUGAGCCAACAAUUGUGCGUGCAUUUGCAUGUGUUGCAACUGCAAGUCUUCAGCUGAGCACUUCUAUUGGUGUUUUGAUGGAAGUUUAUCAGUGCAUGUACAAGCCACCAGUGAUGUGCAAAUGGCUCGUGAUCACGAGGGGGAGGUGCAUGCGUGAGGGGCAUGUGGUCAGCCCAACUAAUGGGCUCAAUUAUGAUGAUGUGGUUUGUUUUAAAUAUUGAGGGCUAGUUAUUAGCGAUCUGCUGUGGGUUGAUAUGUUUUUAAGGAAAAAAUUUUUUAGAAGAACCCCCAAUACAUAGUUUUGGGAAAGAACUAGGUACUAUUGGAGUUGCUCAAGGAGGAAGGAAGAAAUCAAUCUGUUGGAGUUGCUCUUA
Setaria italica (foxtail millet) is the source of this 1320-nucleotide long non-coding RNA. RefSeq lists it as uncharacterized. NCBI's taxonomy places the organism in Eukaryota, Viridiplantae, Streptophyta, Magnoliopsida, Poales, Poaceae. The record is from RefSeq and is a predicted model, not a curated record. The transcript has 2 exons.